AUACGGAGGACGCGAGCGUUAUCCGGAUUCAUUGGGUUUAAAGGGUGCGCAGGCGGCCGUGCAAGUCAGCGGUGAAAGCCCGGGGCUCAACCCCGGAAGUGCCGUUGAUACUGCAUGGCUGGAAUGCGGUCGAGGCGGGCGGAACGGGGCGUGUAGCGGUGAAAUGCGUAGAUAUGCCACAGAACGCCGAUAGCGGAGGCAGCUCGCCAGGCCUGCAUUGACGCUCGGGCACGAAAGCGUGGGGAUCGAACAGGAUUAGAUGCCCUGGUAGUCCACGCCGUAAACGAUGGGCGCUCGUCGUCGGCGGCAGACAGUCGGCGGCCAAGCGAAAGCGAUAAGCGCCCCACCUGGGGAGUACGGUCGCAAGGCUGAAACUCAAAUGAAUUGGCGGGG
This 393-nucleotide ribosomal RNA is filed under the name uncultured bacterium. RNAcentral describes it as "partial 16S ribosomal RNA". It matches the Rfam family "Bacterial small subunit ribosomal RNA", at positions 523 to 918 of the family's 1533-position model. The record is from RNAcentral.